Long non-coding RNA from Pyrus x bretschneideri (Chinese white pear), 814 nucleotides. RefSeq lists it as uncharacterized. The record is from RefSeq and is a predicted model, not a curated record. The transcript is spliced from 3 exons. Lineage: Eukaryota; Viridiplantae; Streptophyta; Magnoliopsida; Rosales; Rosaceae.
CUUAUGGAAGGGACUUUGUGAACCAUCAGCCUACUGGAAGGUUUUGCAAUGGCAAACUGGCCACUGACAUCAGUUGGGACGAAUUCUAGGAUUGAGGUGAAAGGAUUUGGAAGAAUCAGAUAUGCCUAUUCAUUUGCAAGAUUGUUGGUGGGGAUGAUGUGGUUAACUGGAUUCUUUGAGUUAUUUGUGAUCUGAAAUUACCAGUGUCGCCCUCCAUUGUGCCGAUAUGACAUGGGACUGAAAAUAACUUCCCACUUUCGUUUGGAUGGGUAGGACAUCUUUUAGUUUAUGAUUUGAACACUUUGAAGGGAUCAAUUAUUUUUCUUCUUUUGUUGUUGAUUGAGGUGGGUUAUAGGAAUAAGGUGACAUUUUAGAGUUGAAAUUGUUAGUGUUUUUCGUGAUGCUCUUUCCUUUUCUUCUCUGUGAAAAAACAUACUAAAGUAACAACGCAAUGGUGGUGAGAAUAAGCGUUCUCAUGUAUCUAUGGAUGUGUGAUAUGAAUUAGGUGGAUGAUGUUGAAGCAUCAGUCAAUAAAAAACAAAUAGGAUCUCAGAUAUUAUACAUUAAUCCAUACAUUAGUCUUGAAAGAUUAGCUGUUGAAACAAGAACAACACACUUAUUUUGCUUUUUUGUUUAGCUGUUAAAACACAUGCCUGGCCUGCUGGACGUAUAUUUUGCUAUCGUAACUUGAAGGGCAAUGUAAGUGUUAAAUGCAUGUUGCUUAUGUUUCUCAAGAAACAGAGCAUUUAUUGCAACUGUAUCUUUUGUAAUCAGCUCAGUUGACUGUAUAUAAAAGUCGAAUUGCUUAUCUUAC